UUGAUUAUGCUAGCUAAUGCUAUCAUAAAAAUUGUGAACUGUUACCGUCUACUUGACGGCCGAAAGGCUGUCAUAUGGACUAUUUAUUUUAAUAUACUAAUAACUUUUUAUACCAGCAAUAAUGCUAUAUUACA
Molecule: unclassified non-coding RNA, 134 nt
Filed under: soil metagenome
Description: partial internal transcribed spacer 1
Source: RNAcentral